AACGAACGCUGGCGGCAUGCCUAACACAUGCAAGUCGAACGAGACCUUCGGGUCUAGUGGCGCACGGGUGCGUAACGCGUGGGAACCUGCCUUUAGGUUCGGAAUAACUCAGAGAAAUUUGAGCUAAUACCGGAUGAUGUCUUCGGACCAAAGAUUUAUCGCCUUUAGAUGGGCCCGCGUUGGAUUAGCUAGUUGGUGGGGUAAAGGCCUACCAAGGCGACGAUCCAUAGCUGGUCUGAGAGGAUGAUCAGCCACACUGGGACUGAGACACGGCCCAGACUCCUACGGGAGGCAGCAGUGGGGAAUAUUGGACAAUGGGCGAAAUCCUGAUCCAGCAAUGCCGCGUGAGUGAUGAAGGCCUUAGGGUUGUAAAGCUCUUUUACCCGAGAUGAUAAUGACAGUAUCGGGAGAAUAAGCUCCGGCUAACUCCGUG
RNAcentral lists this ribosomal RNA (433 nucleotides) under uncultured bacterium. RNAcentral's name for it is "partial 16S ribosomal RNA". It matches the Rfam family "Bacterial small subunit ribosomal RNA", at positions 29 to 507 of the family's 1533-position model. The record is from RNAcentral.